AAUCUUAACAAAAAUUUAAAUUGCAAAUUUAAAAAAGAUGAGAUUAAACCAUCUAAGAUUU
RNAcentral lists this transfer RNA (61 nucleotides) under Dermacentor marginatus. RNAcentral's name for it is "tRNA-Cys". The record is from RNAcentral. Lineage: Eukaryota; Metazoa; Arthropoda; Arachnida; Ixodida; Ixodidae.